RNAcentral lists this long non-coding RNA (918 nucleotides) under Marmota monax (woodchuck). The record is from RNAcentral. Lineage: Eukaryota; Metazoa; Chordata; Mammalia; Rodentia; Sciuridae.
GGCAUUCUGUCUAUCUACAACUACAAAAAUAAAAAAAGAUUACAUGGGAGGCUGGGCACAGUGGCCACACCUGUAUUCCCAGCAGCUUGGGAGGCUGAGGCUGGAGGAUUGCAAGCUCAAGGCCAGACUCAGCAGUUUAUUGAGACCCUAAGCAACUUAGCAAGGCCCUGUCUCUAAAUAAAAAGUAAAAAGGGCUGGGGAGGGGCUGGGUUGUGGCUCAGUGGUAGAGCACCCUUGGGUUCCAUCCCCAUUGCCAACAGUAAAGCGAAUAAAACUCAGAGGGCAAAGCAGUGUGUUUGGGGUGUGAUGACAGCAGUGUCCACGUCACCAGACAGCAGUCAUCACAGGAAUGUGCCCAGCACAGGAAAGCAAAGGUAGGGAAACUCGGAAAUUUGAGUAGAAGAUCUCAUUGCAGCAGAGCACGUUCACACAGAGGAAGAGAGGGGACGAGGCUUCGAGCCAGUGAUGUUUCCCUGUGGCUCGUUUGUCAGCCAAGCAAAGAAAGCCAUUUACUGUGGGUGGCUCAGUGGGAGGCUGCAGCAGAGGAAGCAGAGGAAGCAAGUCUAAGGCUACCGGCCUUUCAGCACAAAGGUGUUCUGAGAGAGAAGAACUGAGAACUACGAUAGUCCAUCAGAGCAAGAGAAUGGCUGGAAGUCGUUUCCCGGGGCUCUUGCUGAGUGGACAGAUGCUACUGCUGAUCUGAGGAGUCAUGCCCUGGAGGCUGAGCUGGGCACUGGAAACCAGCCCCAAGCAAAGGCGGCAGAGAACUACAGCUGCAGGCAGGAGGAUCUGCACGUUCAGCAAGACCCACUCAGUCUGAGAGGACUGUGCUAAUAGGCGCCCAAACUGACCAUGGUUUAGAAACCAUGUGGGAGCAGAAACACGAGCUGGACUGGCAGAGUCUGUGAGAACCUCAAG